AUGUGGCCACCAUGGAACAAAUCAACUUCCUCUUCUUUCUCAUGUUCCUCCUUCAAAGACAUUCAAACCCUCCUCAAAGAAGAACCCACCACCACAAAGGCUAAACCCUCCAUAUUCCACCGAGUCACACUCGCUAACAAGCUCCUCCGAGCCUGGUCAACUCAACCCAAACUCACUUAUCCCCCAUCCCCAUCCUCACAAAACGAUCCACGCGCCGCGCAACCGCAUCCUGGUGCACUAAACCCCGUUUCCUAG
Molecule: non-coding RNA, 255 nt
Organism: Vicia faba (fava bean)
Lineage: Eukaryota; Viridiplantae; Streptophyta; Magnoliopsida; Fabales; Fabaceae
Source: the annotation of a GenBank genome assembly